UACAGAGGGUGCGAGCGUUAAUCGGAAUUACUGGGCGUAAAGCGUGCGCAGGCGGUUUUGUAAGCCGGAUGUGAAAUCCCCGGGCUUAACCUGGGAAUGGCAUUCGGGACUGCAAGGCUGGAGUGCGGCAGAGGAGACUGGAAUUCCUGGUGUAGCAGUGAAAUGCGUAGAUAUCAGGAGGAACACCGAUGGCGAAGGCAGGUCUCUGGGCUGACGCUGACGCUCAUGCACGAAAGCGUGGGGAGCAAACAGG
Molecule: ribosomal RNA, 253 nt
Filed under: uncultured bacterium
Lineage: Bacteria
Description: partial 16S ribosomal RNA
Rfam family: Bacterial small subunit ribosomal RNA
Source: RNAcentral